RNAcentral lists this ribosomal RNA (478 nucleotides) under uncultured bacterium. RNAcentral's name for it is "partial 16S ribosomal RNA". It matches the Rfam family "Bacterial small subunit ribosomal RNA", at positions 28 to 523 of the family's 1533-position model. The record is from RNAcentral.
GACGAACGCUGGCGGCGUGCUUAACACAUGCAAGUCGAACGGUAAGGCCCUUCGGGGUACACGAGUGGCGAACGGGUGAGUAACACGUGGGUGAUCUGCCCUGCACUUCGGGAUAAGCCUGGGAAACUGGGUCUAAUACCGGAUAGGACCACUGCCUGCAUGGGUGGUGGUGGAAAGCUUUUGCGGUGUGGGAUGGGCCCGCGGCCGAUCAGCUUGUUGGUGGGGUGAUGGCCUACCAAGGCGACGACGGGUAGGCGGCCUGGGAGGGUGACCGGCCACACUGGGACUGAGAUACGGCCCAGACUCCUACGGGAGGCAGCAGUGGGGAAUAUUGCACAAUGGGCGCAAGCCUGAUGCAGCGACGCCGCGUGAGGGAUGACGGCCUUCGGGUUGUAAACCUCUUUCAGCACCGACGAAGCGCAAGUGACGGUAGGUGCAGAAGAAGGACCGGCCUACUACGUGCCAGCCGCCGCCGUAA